This 564-nucleotide ribosomal RNA is filed under the name Triticum aestivum (bread wheat). RNAcentral describes it as "partial small subunit ribosomal RNA". Lineage: Eukaryota; Viridiplantae; Streptophyta; Magnoliopsida; Poales; Poaceae. The record is from RNAcentral.
AUGGACUGGGCGGCACACACGGAGCACAUCCACGCCCAACUGGAGUGUGCCCAGCGCAGGUUCAAGAAAGAAGCAGAUCGCAAUCGCACUGAGCAUCAGUUCCAGGUCGGCGGGCAAGUGCUGCUGAAACUGCAGCCCUACGCGCAGCGCUCGGUCGUCAAUAGGCCCUGUGCCAAGCUCGUCUUCAAGUUCUUCGGGCCGUACACUAUCCUCGAGAAGAUCGGUCUCAUGGCGUACAAGCUUGCUCUGCCGCCCGCCAGUCAGGUACACCCGGUCUUUCACGUGUCCCAGCUCAAGCCAUUCACGCCGGACUAUACGCCGGUGUACGCGGAGCUGCCGCGCGUGCCGGAUCUCUCUGUGUCAUCAGCAGAGCCAACACAGCUGCUGGAACAACGCAUGAUGAAGCGAAGGAAUGCGGCCAUCAUCCAAGUCAAAGUGCAGUGGGGCGAGGGCUCGCCGGCGGCCACCACAUGGGAGGAUUAUGAAGUUCUUCGGCAGCGUUUCCCAGCGGCAGCUAUUUGGGAGGAAUCAGGUUCAAGCUCGCAGGAGGAAGCUCAGUCUUAA